GUCCCUCAUCGGUGGUGGAAAGAAAAAUAGGAGAGUUUAAAUACUGAAUCACUCCUAUUAAUUGUUAAAAUGGUUGGAAAGAGGGACCCCCCUCGCGUUGUCGUCAUCGCUCGUCUCGGCUUCGACUUCUGCUUCGGCUUUGGCAAAUGAUCGAUCGAGAGAUUAUUUUUCAAAUUCGCGUGCGACCCAUUUUAUUUGAACUUUCCCAUUUUAUUUAAAUUUCCCGCCAUGACUAUUAUGAAAGGUUGCAACUUUCAGGAACAGUCCGUACCAUUUGAAAGGUUGCAAACUUUCAUUAAUGGUCGUGUGAAUUCUGAAAAGGUUGCAACCUUUCGGAAACUGUUCUUUUCUUCAUGUACUUUCCUGUUGUUGAUUGGUUCGCUUACACCAGGGUUUUGGUAUCUAUACCCUGGUGAUUGAGAUCAUUUUACCUUGGGAGGUCAUAUUCCAAAUCAAACAUCGGAUACUAGAGGGGAAUAAUUUCCUUAAGGGACACUAUGAGUUCAGUGGACUUGAUCUUUUUCCUAUUCAAAAUUUUCUGGUACGUGUUUUUAUAGAUUUUUAUUUAUUCAUUAUUUGAUUUCUGUUCAUCUUUUGUACUGAUUAUGAAAACUUUAAUUACUUCGUGUUUCUGCAAAGUUUUACCAGAAUUAGUAAUUCUGUACUUCAAACACAAAGUGGCAACAGGUAUUAGUUGUCAACGUUACUUUGAGGACCUUCAGAUUUCACUUUUCAAAAACUCGAGUUGAUUUGAUUAGUGUAAAACUGUAUAUAAUAGUAAUUUUUGCUUUCUUCUAUGUUUAGCUCGAGAAGAGGAUUUAAAGUUCUCUAUUUCAUGAUCAGUAAUCAAGGUGAGAUGUAACGGAAAAGGAGCAACAGGGAGAAUUACGUAGCAUGCAGGAGAUAAUAGAGCGUUUCAGAUGCAUACAAAGACAGAGUUCAAUCUUAAAACCAAGUUGGAGCACAAUAUCUGCAGCAUAUGCAACAAGUUUAAUGAAGAAGAUAGAGCGCUUUGAAACAUCGAAAAGGUUCAAUGAAACCUUACUCCAAAAGUUGCAUUGUUAUUUCAGCUCAGAGAGGAAUCGUUGCUUAUUCUAUUGUUAUGAAAAAAGAAGUACAUGUUCAAGCUGUUAUUUUUUUUGGAGUGUUAGCUUUCUUUUACGCUGAAUCCAAGCACAUCUUUUUCAAUGUUGUGAUUAUGCUUUUGAGUAUUGGGACUAGUGUUAACUGUUGUUUAGAAGUUUGUCCUCUUUCGUGCUUGGUCAUUUCAAUGGUUUGAUGCUGAUGCAGACACCAUUUGGAUAUACGAGAAAGGUUAUUCUAUUGAUCGGAGUUGGAGAUACACUUCUUGGGAUUGGCUUAAAGAGUGAAUUGGAAGUACUUCGAUCUAUGUUUUCCUUAUGUUCCAGUUCAAUAUAUGCUUGUCUGCAUUAACUUUUGUUCAAAUAUCUGAUGCAGUUCUUAGGAUCACCUCAUAGUCCAAGAGGAAGCUAGCCUGACAAGAAGACAUUUUACUUCCUCUCUUGAAAACAGUUGGCUAACAUGUACUCCCCUAGUAGCUCUAUUAAUGGGCAAAAAUAUGUAAGAGUUCAAAGGCAAAGCUUCGAUUUGGCAAACAGGCAAAAUUUUGGGAUGAGCUCUUUACCGAAGAAUUCAAAGGCAAAUGACACCAUCAAUGACGCUCAGGAUCGUGAAGCUAUGGUAGCUUUUCUAAAUUUGUACAUAAUACAAUUUUCAGUUUGAAGGGAGACUAAAUCUUGUUGAUUUGCUGAAGAAAUUUGUGUUUAGGAACUGUAUUUACGUGCGAAAGCACAACAACAAAAAAUUAUGUAUCUUCGGGAACAGAUUGCUCUUGCCAGUGUUUGGGUGUGCCAAUUUCCUUUGUCAUAAUCCAUCAUAUGAAUGAUAAUGAUGUCUAAGUCGGUGUGCCUAAGAAUUUACAGGAAGUUCCUUAUCUAGCAAUUGACAAACAUCUUUGUCAGCCUACUACAGGGCUCUAAGAUGCUGCAUCAUCAAACAAUGCAAUCAACCUAAUGAUGCUUCUUCUGAAUCGACGUGCCAUCUGAUUGGCCUAGCUACAAAUAUCAAAUAAAUUUGUCCCUAUUACAGAUCUUCCUGAUAGCGUAUUGUUGUUAUCCAAGUUGCCAUAGUUCCGCUAGGAAAAAGAAACAAUAGUUCAAUCUCCUUGCUUUUCCAUUGUUGAACACAUUCUCUCUGUUUUUUUUUAUGAUAACUUAAAUAUAUUGUUGUUGUUUUGAUAAUUCAUAUUUUUUUAAGAAAGACAAGAAAUUGGGUGUAUUGAUUGUUCUUGUGUUUUAUAUGAAUGAUGUUGUUUGAGUUAUGUAAUUCUUUUAUUUCUAUUUUUAAUUGGUUUUCUGAUUAAAAUAUGUUUAAGGUGAAUUUAUGGCUAACUUUAGUUUCCAUAAUGAUUUCCAUUGAAAUAGGCCCUGUUUAGCGGCAAUUAUUGUACUUCUAUGGGUAAUUACAAAUGCCGCAAAAUAAGCAAAUUGUACCGGUGAUAAGAAUUGUCACUAAAUAAAUGCCGCUAGAA
This is a long non-coding RNA of Solanum pennellii, 2551 nucleotides long. RefSeq lists it as uncharacterized. The record is from RefSeq and is a predicted model, not a curated record. Lineage: Eukaryota; Viridiplantae; Streptophyta; Magnoliopsida; Solanales; Solanaceae. The transcript has 6 exons.